GGCGGCUUUUGCGAUUGUUGAAACAUAUGCAUCAUCUGCUGAAGCUGUAGCUGGAGGUCAUCGUACUUUUUGCUCUGUUCUGCUACCAUCGCUCGUGCCUCUGCCUCUCUCGCUGCAGCCGCUGCCUCCCUCUCUGCUGCCUCCGCUCUAAGUUGUUGCUGGAGUUCUUCAUAUUUUCGUUGAACUUCGGCAAUUUGCUCAACCGUGUUCGCUUGCAUCUGAGCUAUCUGGUCUCUUAACCUCUGAACUUCAGCUUGAGCUUGACUUCCGGAAGGCAUGUAUUGCUGGGAGCCGGAUCCAAAAUAUUGGGUCGGGGUAACACCAGAUCCUUGAAAUCGAACCCGACCGUACCUUUCAGGACCCAAAACUUCAGUGAUAAUUCUGUUAUCAAUGUUCUCAAGAUUAACAGAACUAUCACUCGA
RNAcentral lists this long non-coding RNA (422 nucleotides) under Gossypium barbadense (sea-island cotton). RNAcentral describes it as "long non-coding RNA (GBAR_LNC000917)". The record is from RNAcentral. Lineage: Eukaryota; Viridiplantae; Streptophyta; Magnoliopsida; Malvales; Malvaceae.